RNAcentral lists this ribosomal RNA (468 nucleotides) under uncultured bacterium. Its description in RNAcentral is "partial 16S ribosomal RNA". It matches the Rfam family "Bacterial small subunit ribosomal RNA", at positions 28 to 507 of the family's 1533-position model. The record is from RNAcentral.
GACGAACGCUGGCGGCGUGCUUAACACAUGCCAGUCGAACGGAAAGGCCCUGCUUUUGUGGGGUGCUCGAGUGGCGAACGGGUGAGUAACACGUGAGUAACCUGCCCUUGACUUUGGGAUAACUUCAGGAAACUGGGGCUAAUACCGGAUAGGAGCUCCUGCUGCAUGGUGGGGGUUGGAAAGUUCCGGCGGUUGGGGAUGGACUCGCGGCUUAUCAGCUUGUUGGUGGGGUAGUGGCUUACCAAGGCUUUGACGGGUAGCCGGCCUGAGAGGGUGAACGGCCACAAUGGGACUACGAUACGGCCCAGACGGCUACGGGAGGCAGCAGUGGGGAAUCUUGCACAAUGGGCGGAAGCCUGAUGCAGCAACGCCGCGUGCGGGAUAACGGCCUUCGGGUUGUAAACCGCUUUCGCCUGUGACGAAGCGUGAGUGACGGUAAUGGGUAAAGAAGCACCGGCUAACUACGUG